Molecule: ribosomal RNA, 484 nt
Filed under: uncultured bacterium
Lineage: Bacteria
Description: partial 16S ribosomal RNA
Rfam family: Bacterial small subunit ribosomal RNA
Source: RNAcentral
AUUGAACGCUGGCGGCAGGCCUAACACAUGCAAGUCGAGCGGAUGAAGGGAGCUUGCUCCUGGAUUCAGCUGCGGACGGGUGAGUAAUUCCUAGGAAUCUGCCUUGUCUUGGGGGAUAACGUCCGUAAACGGGCGCUAAUACCGCAUACGUCCUUAUUUAGAAAGUGGUGGAUCUUCGGACCUCACGCUAUCAGCUGAGCCUAGGUCGGAUUAGCUAGUUGGUGUGGUAAAGGCCUACCAAGGCGACGAUCCGUAACUGGUCUGAGAGGAUGAUCAGUCACACUGGAACUGAGACACGGUCCAGACUCCUACGGGAGGCAGCAGUAGGGAAUAUUGGACAAUGGGCGAAAGCCUGAUCCAGCAACGCCGCGUGUGUGAAGAAGGUCUUCGGAUUGUAAAGCACUUUAAGUUGGGAGGAAGGGAAGUAAGUUAAUACCUGGCUGUUUUGACGUUACCAAAAGAAUAAGCAACGGCUAACUUCGUG